RNAcentral lists this ribosomal RNA (253 nucleotides) under uncultured bacterium. Its description in RNAcentral is "partial 16S ribosomal RNA". It matches the Rfam family "Bacterial small subunit ribosomal RNA", at positions 524 to 776 of the family's 1533-position model. The record is from RNAcentral.
UACGGAGGAUCCGAGCGUUAUCCGGAUUUAUUGGGUUUAAAGGGAGCGUAGGCGGGUUGUUAAGUCAGUUGUGAAAGUUUGCGGCUCAACCGUAAAAUUGCAGUUGAUACUGGCAUCCUUGAGUACAGUAGAGGUAGGCGGAAUUCGUGGUGUAGCGGUGAAAUGCUUAGAUAUCACGAAGAACUCCGAUUGCGAAGGCAGCCUGCUGGACUGUAACUGACGCAGAUGCUCGAAAGUGUGGGUAUCAAACAGG